This 306-nucleotide ribosomal RNA is filed under the name uncultured Chytridiales. RNAcentral's name for it is "partial large subunit ribosomal RNA". It matches the Rfam family "Eukaryotic large subunit ribosomal RNA", at positions 40 to 350 of the family's 3401-position model. Lineage: Eukaryota; Fungi; Chytridiomycota; Chytridiomycetes; Chytridiales. The record is from RNAcentral.
AUAUCAAUAAGCGGAGGAAAAGAAACCAACAGGGAUUCCCCUAGUAACGGCGAGUGAAGCGGGAAAAGCUCAAUUUUGAAAUCUCCGAAAGGCGAAUUGUAGUUUCAAGACACAUUUUCGGGUUUGUUCUAGGUUCAAGUCCGCUGGAACGCGGCGCCAAAGAGGGUGAGAGCCCCGUGGAGCCUGGUGCACAAACCUAUGUGAUAUGUGCUCGAAGAGUCGGAUAGUUUGGGAUUGCUGUCCAAAAUGGGUGGUAAAUACCAUCUAAAGCUAAAAUAUCGACGAGAGACCGAUAGCGCACAAGUA